AUGUAUGAAGUGAAAAAAGCCUGCAUCAUUGCCCGUGCAGGAGAGGAAGUCCUUGAAUUCUUACUCCUUAUGCCUGAUGAUGAAUUACCUAUCUUGGGCUCCCGAAAUGCAGGGGAACUAAUCGUUAUAGCUGCUUGGUAUUUAUGGUGGAAUAGACGGAAACUAGUCCAUGAGGGUAAGUCUCAAGAGGCGUCUCAAACCUCCAUGGGGAUUAGGGCUGUAACAGCAAAUUAUGUAAAUGCCCACUCACCUAAAGCAAAGAGAAAGAAUGAAGGAUGGCGCAGACCUCCCAUGAGGUUUGUUAAAUUGAAUGUGGAUGCUUCUUUUGAUCAUGAUCAGCUACGGGGCACAGCGGGGGCUGUUAUCAGAGAUGACAGAGGAAAUUUCAUAGUAGGUGGUAACUAG
RNAcentral lists this ribosomal RNA (405 nucleotides) under Triticum aestivum (bread wheat). Its description in RNAcentral is "partial small subunit ribosomal RNA". Lineage: Eukaryota; Viridiplantae; Streptophyta; Magnoliopsida; Poales; Poaceae. The record is from RNAcentral.